UACGAAGGGGGCUAGCGUUGUUCGGAUUUACUGGGCGUAAAGCGCACGUAGGCGGAUCGUUAAGUGAGGGGUGAAAUCCCGGGGCUCAACCCCGGAACUGCCUUUCAUACUGGCGAUCUUGAGUUCGAGAGAGGUGAGUGGAACUCCUAGUGUAGAGGUGGAAUUCGUAGAUAUUAGGAAGAACACCAGUGGCGAAGGCGGCUCACUGGUCCAUUACUGACGCUGAGGUGCGAAAGCGUGGGGAGCAAACAGG
Molecule: ribosomal RNA, 253 nt
Filed under: uncultured bacterium
Lineage: Bacteria
Description: partial 16S ribosomal RNA
Rfam family: Bacterial small subunit ribosomal RNA
Source: RNAcentral